CAGAGGUCCCGAGCGUUGUUCGGAUUCACUGGGCGUAAAGGGUGCGUAGGUGGUGAGGUAAGUCGGAUGUGAAAUCUCCGGGCUCAACCCGGAAAUGGCAUUGGAAACUACCUUGCUGGAGGAUCUGAGGGGGGAUUGGAAUACUUGGUGUAGCAGUGAAAUGCGUAGAUAUCAAGUGGAACACCAGUGGCGAAGGCGAAUCCCUGGAAAAUACCUGACACUGAGGCACGAAAGCUAGGGGAGCAAACAGGAUUAGAUACCCUGGUAGUCCUAGCCCUAAACGGUGCUUGCUUGCUGUAAGAGGAAUCGACCCCUCUUGUGGCGGAGCUAACGCGUUAAGCAAGCCGCCUGGGAAGUACGGUCGCAAGAUUA
RNAcentral lists this ribosomal RNA (372 nucleotides) under uncultured organism. RNAcentral describes it as "bacterial SSU rRNA". It matches the Rfam family "Bacterial small subunit ribosomal RNA", at positions 526 to 896 of the family's 1533-position model. The record is from RNAcentral.